AUUGAACGCUGGCGGCAGGCCUAACACAUGCAAGUCGAGCGGAGGAAGGGAGCUUGCUCCUGGAUUCAGCGGCGGACGGGUGAGGAAUGCCUAGGAAUCUGCCUGGUUGUGGGGGAUAACGGCCGGAAACGGGCGCUAAUACCGCAUACGUCCUGAGGGAGAAAGUGGGGGAUCUUCGGACCUCACGCUAUCAGAUGAGCCUAGGGCGGAUUAGCUAGUUGGUGGGGUAAAGGCCUACCAAGGCGACGAUCCGUAACUGGUCUGAGAGGAUGAUCAGUCACCCUGGAACUGAGACACGGUCCAGACUACUACGGGAGGCAGCAGUGGGGAAUAUUGGACAAUGGGCGAAAGCCUGCUCCAGCCAUGCCGCGUGUGUGAAGAAGGUCUUCGGAUUGUAAAGCACUUUAAGUUGGGAGGAAGGGCAGUAAGUUAAUACCUUGCUGUUUUGACGUUACCAACAGAAUAAGCACCGGCUAACUUCGUG
This 484-nucleotide ribosomal RNA is filed under the name uncultured bacterium. RNAcentral's name for it is "partial 16S ribosomal RNA". It matches the Rfam family "Bacterial small subunit ribosomal RNA", at positions 30 to 507 of the family's 1533-position model. The record is from RNAcentral.